GGUGAGGUGGGAGAGUGGUUUAAUCCGCUUGCUUGGAAAGCAAGUGUGUCAGCAAUGGCACCCCGAGUUCGAAUCUCGGUCUCACCGCCA
Molecule: transfer RNA, 90 nt
Filed under: Gammaproteobacteria bacterium
Lineage: Bacteria; Pseudomonadati; Pseudomonadota; Gammaproteobacteria
Description: tRNA-Ser
Rfam family: tRNA
About the family: Transfer RNA (tRNA) molecules are approximately 80 nucleotides in length. Their secondary structure includes four short double-helical elements and three loops (D, anti-codon, and T loops).
Source: RNAcentral